RNAcentral lists this ribosomal RNA (1338 nucleotides) under metagenome. RNAcentral's name for it is "bacterial LSU rRNA". It matches the Rfam family "Bacterial large subunit ribosomal RNA", at positions 1599 to 2925 of the family's 2925-position model. The record is from RNAcentral.
ACCAAGCUUCCAGGAAAGGCCACUAAGCUUCAGUCUAGAGUUGACCGUACCGCAAACCGACACAGGUGGGCAGGAUGAAAAUUCUAAGGCGCUUGAGAGAACUCAGGAGAAGGAACUCGGCAAAUUAACACCGUAACUUCGGGAGAAGGUGGGCCCCGGUAGCGUGUAGAGACUUGCUCUCGAAGCGCGAUGGGGUUGCAGUGAAAUGGUGGCUGCGACUGUUUAAUAAAAACACAGCACUCUGCAAACACGAAAGUGGACGUAUAGGGUGUGACGCCUGCCCGGUGCCGGAAGGUUAAGUGAUGGGGUGCAAGCUCUUGAUCGAAGCCCCGGUAAACGGCGGCCGUAACAAUAACGGUCCUAAGGUAGCGAAAUUCCUUGUCGGGUAAGUUCCGACCUGCACGAAUGGCGUAACGAUGGCCACACUGUCUCCUCCUGGGACUCAGCGAAGUUGAAAUGUUUGUGAAGAUGCAAUCUACCCGCGGCUAGACGGAAAGACCCCAUGAACCUUUACUGUAGCUUUGCAUUGGACUUUGAACCGGUUUGUGUAGGAUAGGUGGGAGACUGUGAAGCCGGGACGCUAGUUUCGGUGGAGUCAACCUUGAAAUACCACCCUGAUUUGUUUGAGGUUCUAACCUUGGUCCGUGAAUCCGGAUCGGGGACCGUGCAUGGUAGGCAGUUUGACUGGGGCGGUCUCCUCCCAAAAGGUAACGGAGGAGUACGAAGGUACGCUUAGGGCGGUCGGACAUCGCCCACAAAGUGCAAUGGCAAAAGCGUGCUUGACUGCGAGACCCACAAGUCGAGCAGGUACGAAAGUAGGUCAUAGUGAUCCGGUGGUUCUGUACGGAAGGGCCAUCGUUCAACGGAUAAAAGGUACUCUGGGGAUAACAGGCUAAUUCCUCCCAAGAGUUCAUAUCGACGGGGGAGUUUGGCACCUCGAUGUCGGCUCAUCACAUCCUGGGGCUGUAGUCGGUCCCAAGGGUAUGGCUGUUCGCCAUUUAAAGUGGUACGCGAGCUGGGUUUAAAACGUCGUGAGACAGUUUGGUCCCUAUCUGCCGUGGGCGCUGGAAAUUUGAAGGGGGCUGCUCCUAGUACGAGAGGACCGGAGUGGACGAACCUCUGGUGUACCGGUUAUGACGCCAGUCGUAUCGCCGGGUAGCUAAGUUCGGAAGAGAUAAACGCUGAAAGCAUCUAAGCGUGAAACUCGCCUUAAGAUAAGAUUUCCCGGAGUCUUGAACUCCCUGAAGGGUCGUCGAAGACCACGACGUUGAUAGGUCAGGUGUGGAAGCGCAGCAAUGCGUUAAGCUAACUGAUACUAAUUGCCCGUGCGGCUUGAUC